ACGAAGGGGGCUAGAGUUGUUCGGAAUCACUGGGCGUAAAGCGCGCGUAGGCGGACCGUUAAGUCGGAGGUGAAAGCCUGGAGCUCAACUCCAGAACUGCCUUCGAUACUGGCGGCAUCGAGUCCGGGAGAGGUGUGUGGAACUGCUAGUGUAGAGGUGAAAUUCGUAGAUAUCAGCAAGAACACCGGUGGCGAAGGCGGCACCCUGGUCCGGUACUGACGCUGAGGUGCGAAAGCGUGGGGAGCAAACAG
Molecule: ribosomal RNA, 251 nt
Filed under: uncultured prokaryote
Description: partial 16S rRNA
Rfam family: Bacterial small subunit ribosomal RNA
Source: RNAcentral